This is a small nuclear RNA of Amaranthus tricolor (Joseph's coat), 117 nucleotides long. RefSeq annotates it as U5 spliceosomal RNA. The record is from RefSeq and is a predicted model, not a curated record. Lineage: Eukaryota; Viridiplantae; Streptophyta; Magnoliopsida; Caryophyllales; Amaranthaceae. The transcript has a single exon.
AACUAUUCUUUCGCCUCACUGCAAACUAUUCUUUCGCCUUUUACUAAAGAAUACUGUGCGCUUGCUGCAUAGAGUGGCAUACAUUUAUUUUUGGAGGGAAUUCCUAAUAAGGAGUUU